AAGAUUGAGAUACACCCACUUUUGCAUUUAAUACCACACCCACCAAAGACAUUUGAGUGAAACCAUAGUUUAUCUAUGAUGAAACCUGGCUAGCUAGCUUUUAGCUCCAUUGCAUUGCUAAAGUAUUACAGCAUUCUCCGAAUGGAAAGAGGUUUGAGGCUGAGAAUCCUGUCCUGUCAGUAAUGAACCCGACGUAUUCAAGUUUUCAAAGAACCGCACAUUUGGAUCUACCGAGCACAACUCCAGAUCACACACAAUAUUCAAACUGACCAUUGAAAGCAGGGUUAGAGAUGAUGAACUCAGUGAUGGCACUACUAUCAGGGUGUCCUCUGUGAGCCUGGUUGACCUGGCUGGGUCAGAGCAUGUAAGUGCAACAGGUGCCACGGGUGAGCAGUUUUGGGACAAGCUGAUACAGUAGCCAAUCAAGUAAAACUUCCCGUUGCUUUUUUGAUGAAGAUCAUAUCAAAUUAAGUUAUCAGAGUGAACCGUGUGAGUUACUAUAGUUACAUUGUACAGUAUGCACUGCAUGGAAAUGUGCAGUCCUUAUAUUAAUCCCACGCUGAAUGUACUGCUUUGUAUAAUUAUACUCUCUCCUUCAUAAAAAUUAAUGGUGUUGGUACAUGUACGUACGUCAUGUGAUUACAGUUGCUUAAGUUUCUUACCAGUUUUGAGAGGCCGCUAAUAGCAAGAGUCCAUAAUAAAAGAGAGGGAGUAUCCAACGUAGCAUUACCUUGCGUCAAAUGUAUUCGGAAAGUGACGUAACUUCCUGCUUUUUAACCAAACAAUCCGAGUACCCGAAGCCGCUACUUACCUCGAGGCAGAAACAUUUUAUGCCACAAGUUGUUCAGACAGGGUGUAAUGUUACACUCCGAAUACAUCUGAUGCAAGGUAACGAUAUACGCUCGAUACUCUCCCUCUUUUAUUAUGGACUGAAUUUUGUAUGUAUGAGAUUAAUGGAUCACGAUUGGUUGUUAUGGUAAGGUAGUCUACUUUGCAUGGCUGAACACCCUUGUAUUAGCUAUAAUUACAAGUACUGCAAUAUAGGACAACCAACCUGCAUGUCUGUUUCUGAAGUACUACUCUUUCAGUGUUUACAUUGGAGCGUUUUUCCCACUCGAUUUACAAGCUGACCAUUGAAAGCAGGGUUAGAGAUGAGGAACACAGUGAUGGCACUAUCAGGGUGUCCUCUCUGGUGAGUGGGUUGGGCAAGUGUGUGCCUACAGCUGUGAAUAAAUUCUUGACUGAUUGACGUCUGCAUUGCUCCCAGGGUACAUGCAUCUAUUUUAAUAUACAGGUUGGUUGUUCUGUUGAAGCUUUAUGACCACUUUGAGCAGCUAUAAUUAUAAGCACUGCAAUAAUUAUGUCCCUGGUAAUCUGCUCUUUCAGUGUCUAUAUACUAAUUAUUAUUG
This is a long non-coding RNA of Halichondria panicea, 1409 nucleotides long. RefSeq lists it as uncharacterized. NCBI's taxonomy places the organism in Eukaryota, Metazoa, Porifera, Demospongiae, Suberitida, Halichondriidae. The transcript is spliced from 4 exons. The record is from RefSeq and is a predicted model, not a curated record.